AUGAAGAGAAGAGGAGGGCCAAUGUGCAAAUGUGGCAGAUCAGAGAGGGGAAUGAAAUCCCUAGCCGCACCUCAUUGCAAAUCGGUGCCUGGCAUCUCCAUCCCCUCUUUCCCCCGCCUCCUUCUUCCACCUCCGGCCGCCGCCGCGGCCAGGCCGGCGUGGCGGCGCGCCACCCAGCACCUCCACCUGCUCCACAACCCCGCAGCACCUCCACCCGUGCCAUCGCGCUCCCACCACAUCACCAUCACCACCAGCACCACCGCGCGCCACCACUCUCCUCCCCCUACACCAUCCAUCCAUCGCAGCCGCGCCACCGCGCCAUCACCAGCAUCCACCAUCAUCGAUCCAUCUCCACCUUCACUGCGCCAUCCCUCCACCAUCUCCAGCCACCGCCGUACCUCGCGCGCCCAACCAGACAAAGGGGAGCAUAGGCGUCUGGUCAUCCGCGUGAGGGCGCCCCCAUUUGGGUUGUGCUUGAAACUUGGUUGGAUUGUCUUCAUGGAAAUGGCAUUCAACUCAGACCAUCAUGCUUAUGUGAGCAAUAGCACGGAAAGUGUUCAAGACUUGAUAAAGGCCAUCCUUAUGUUGCUCCUACAUGCCAUAUUUGUGGAUUUCAGGGCCAUUCACCUGCUGAAUGUCAGCGUGGUUACUCUCAUCCUCCGGAUUGUUUUGGGAUUUAGGUAUGAAGAGGAGAGCCACAACUAUGCUCCACAACAGUCUUAUUCAGCUCCUAUUCAUAUACCUAAGCACCAGGAGAUGUUGCCAAUGAAGUUAAAUGGUCCUCCAUUUGGUCAACCAACACCUUCAACACAAGUGCCUACUCAAGAUGAGUUCGAUGACAUAGACAAGCUCGCACUUUUGAGUCUUGAGUUCACUUGGAGUGCCGAGGAUGAUCCUAUUAGGAAGGUUAUACUAGAUGAAAUGAAGAAGAUCAAGAGUGGGAAUGAGCUAGUGGAAGAAGUAAAGAAGAUUGAGAAGAACAUCAACGCUGGCAGUACUAUUUCUUCACAGCUUGAGCUGAGUAAUUCUGGGAUUCCCCUUGAUACAUGUGAGGUUCCAAUACCGUCACAUCCAGCUGAGAAAGAUAGCAAGUGCCUUGAGGAAGAGAUACCUCAGAUUGAAGAUGUACUCGUAGCCAAGGCACAAGAUGAUCCAGAGCUCAAAUGCCCAAGUGAUCAAGUUGAAGAUCCAAUGUCUAUCCCUCCUGAAGAAGUAAAAGAAGCUGCUGUAGAUGAAGAUGAAGAACAUGAGAUUCAUUUGCCUAUUGUCAUACCAGAGCGUGAUGUGUCAGGUUUACCCAAUCCUCUCGAUGACAUGCGUCCUUAUGAUUCCUUUGCUUCUACCUUGCAUUGCAUGAUGCCAUCUGUUAAAGUAGAUUUGGAAAAGGUAUUAUCCCUACCACUUGCAUUGUCUCUUUGGUUGAGUGCUCUUUCAGGUUUUUGCUUCUGCAUCGUUCACUUCAUGCUGACCAGGUUCGAGGUGACAUACCUUGGGACCCUGGUGGACUCAGAGCAUGGGGAUGAGGAGAAGCAAGGGGCACACAUGAAGAGAGAAGCUGGAGGAGGCAUGAGGAUAUAG
Molecule: ribosomal RNA, 1578 nt
Filed under: Triticum aestivum (bread wheat)
Lineage: Eukaryota; Viridiplantae; Streptophyta; Magnoliopsida; Poales; Poaceae
Description: partial small subunit ribosomal RNA
Source: RNAcentral